This 342-nucleotide long non-coding RNA is filed under the name Malus domestica (apple). Its description in RNAcentral is "long non-coding RNA (MDOM_LNC014213)". The record is from RNAcentral. Lineage: Eukaryota; Viridiplantae; Streptophyta; Magnoliopsida; Rosales; Rosaceae.
CGUAGGAGUUUAUCACCCAUUACUUCUAGUGUUGUUCCUUGCUGUUUUUAAGUGUUUUAAAGCUGUUUUGGAGUGUUUUGACAAAAAAAUCCGAAAAUCUUAUAAAAAUUUGAAAAAUUGUUUUGAAAAACCCAAAAAGAGUUGUUUUUGUGUGUUUAUUUGUGUCUUAGGGUACCUUCCAACACAAUGAUGAGGAUUUAGUUUUUAAUUACAUGACUAUUAAAAAGAGUUAUAAACAUGGAUAAAAAUUUGAUUUACUCUUUGGUGUAUGCUUGGUUGUGGUUAUAAUUUAUGAAUUGACAUGCAAUCAUAAAGAAAAAAAAAUCAGUUUUUGUAACAUGC